This 540-nucleotide ribosomal RNA is filed under the name Pseudomonas sp. Its description in RNAcentral is "bacterial SSU rRNA". It matches the Rfam family "Bacterial small subunit ribosomal RNA", at positions 56 to 593 of the family's 1533-position model. The record is from RNAcentral. Lineage: Bacteria; Pseudomonadati; Pseudomonadota; Gammaproteobacteria; Pseudomonadales; Pseudomonadaceae.
UGCAGUCGAGCGGAUGAGGGAGCUUGCUCCUGAAUUCAGCGGCGGACGGGUGAGUAAUGCCUAGGAAUCUGCCUGGUAGUGGGGGACAACGUUUCGAAAGGAACGCUAAUACCGCAUACGUCCUACGGGAGAAAGCAGGGGACCUUCGGGCCUUGCGCUAUCAGAUGAGCCUAGGUCGGAUUAGCUAGUUGGUGAGGUAAUGGCUCACCAAGGCGACGAUCCGUAACUGGUCUGAGAGGAUGAUCAGUCACACUGGAACUGAGACACGGUCCAGACUCCUACGGGAGGCAGCAGUGGGGAAUAUUGGACAAUGGGCGAAAGCCUGAUCCAGCCAUGCCGCGUGUGUGAAGAAGGUCUUCGGAUUGUAAAGCACUUUAAGUUGGGAGGAAGGGUUGUAGAUUAAUACUCUGCAAUUUUGACGUUACCGACAGAAUAAGCACCGGCUAACUCUGUGCCAGCAGCCGCGGUAAUACAGAGGGUGCAAGCGUUAAUCGGAAUUACUGGGCGUAAAGCGCGCGUAGGUGGUUCGUUAAGUUGGAU